AGGAAGAACUAACGAGGAUUCCCUCAGUAGCUGCGAGCGAACAGGGAGAAGCCCAGCACUGAAUCCUGGGGGCUCAGCUUCCAUGGAAAUGUAGUGUUUGGGAGGGUUCAUAUACCUGAAACUGUUGCACUGCGCCCAAGUCCAUCUUGAAAGAGGCCACGGUCCCGAGAGGGUGCCAGGCCCGUGGUAGGCCAGUGCCGGUGUUGGGUGAACCUCUCCUCAGAGUCAGGUUGCUUGAGAGUGCAGCCCUAAGCGGGUGGUAAACUCCAUCUAAGGCUAAAUACAACCACGAGACCGAUAGCGAACAAGUACCGUGAGGGAAAGUUGAAAAGAACUUUGAAGAGAGAGUUCAAGAGUACGUGAAACCGCUCAGGGGUAAACGGAAAAGACCCGAAAUUUCCGAAGAGGGAGAUUCACGUCUUCUCGCGGGUUCGACGCUUUGCUUUUCGUAGACGGCCCUGCCCUCGCUCAGACUCGUCUGGCGCGUGGUGGUUGGGUCGCAGAGAGUGAGGUGGAGGUCUGCGGUGGACCGCACUUCUCCCUUAGUAGGACGUCGUGACCCGUCCGGUCAUGGUCUUACGGUGGUGGGGUGGAGCCUGCUCGUUCGUGCUUGCGCGUUUCGGGCAGACCCCCGCCUCCUGGCCAUGGUUAACUACCGGUCGGUAUCAAAGACGGUGUACAGCCGCUCUCCGAAAGAGGAAACUCUUUUCAGUGAGCGUGGGCUUUUGGGCUCUAGACAAGGUGCCGAGUAGUUAGUCAAGGCGGGCAAUCGUCCGUCUGGCUCCUCUUGGCCCUGCUGGUCUUGACGUCCUCCCACGGGCCAUUUUAUACACCCGUCGACGGCGAACCAGUUUUGGGCUCUUGUCCGACCCGUCUUGAAACACGGACCAAGGAGUUUAGCGUGUGCGCGAGUCAUUGGGUGGUAAAACCCAAAGGCGUAAUGAAAGUGAAGGAAACUUUACGUUUCUGAGGGAAGAUGAGUUGGUCAUCCGCAAGGAGCCGCUCCGCACUCCCGGGGCGUCUCUAUCUCAUUGCGAGAGGAGGCGCACCUAGAGCGUACACGCUGAUACCCGAAAGAUGGUGAACUAUGCCUGGCCAGGACGAAGCCAGGGGAAACCCUGGUGGAGGUCCGCAGCGAUUCUGACGUGCAAAUCGAUCGUCAGAGCUGGGUUUAGGGGCGAAAGACCAAUCGAACCAUCUAGUAGCUGGUUCCCUCCGAAGUUUCCCUCAGGAUAGCUUGCGCUCGGGCGAGACGAGUCUCAUCCGGUAGAGCGAAUGAUUAGAGGCCUUGGGGUCGAAACGACCUCAACCUAUUCUCAAACUCCAAAUAGAUGAGAACCCCGGCUUUCUUGAACUUUAUUGUGAUUGAAGCCGUGGGAUUCGGAUCAGAGUGCCAAGUGGGCCAAUUUUGGUAAGCAGAACUGGCGCUGUGGGAUGAACCAAACGUUGAGUUAAGGCGCCUCAAUCGACGCUCAUGUGAAACCAUGAAAGGCGUUGGUUGCUUAAGACAGCAGGACGGUGGCCAUGGAAGUCGGAAUCCGCUAAGGAGUGUGUAACAACUCACCUGCCGAAGCAACUAGCCCUGAAAAUGGAUGGCGCUGUAGCGUCGUGCCUAUACUCGACCGUCAACGGCAAAGCAAUACCCGGAAGGGCAACCUUUUGGGCUGUUAAGCCUUGACGAGUAGGAGGGCCGCGGCGACGUGCGUAGAAGGGUCUGGGCGUGAGCCUGCCUGGAGCCGUCGUCGGUGCAGAUCUUGGUGGUAGUAGCAAAUACUCCAGCGAGGCCCUGGAGGACUGAUGUGGAGAAGGGUUUCUUGUGAACAGCUGUUGCACAAGAGUCAGUCGAUCCUAAGCCCUAGGAGAAAUCCGAAGCGAUGGGUUGCCGUUAAGCAAACUCUGCUGGCACCCGUUUGGGCGAAAGGGAAUCUGGUUCCUAUUCCAGAACCUGGCAGUGGAACCGUUUCAAAUCGGGCCCUUCAAGGACUCGUCAGGGCAACCUGAGUAGACCCGGAGACGCCGUCAGGAGGUUGGGGGAGAGUUGUCUCUUCUCUAUAAGCGAUCGAGUUCCCUGGAAACUUCUAGCAAGGAGAUAGGGUUUGGAUCGCGAAGAGCACUGCAGUUACGGCAGUGUCCCAAUCUUCCUCUCGGACCUUGAAAAUCCGGGUGAGGGCCACGAGGAACCCCACGCCAGAUCGUACCCAUAUCCGCAGCAGGUCUCCAAGGUGAAAAGCCU
The sequence is a ribosomal RNA, 2233 nucleotides long. It matches the Rfam family "Eukaryotic large subunit ribosomal RNA", at positions 54 to 1882 of the family's 3401-position model.